Molecule: ribosomal RNA, 332 nt
Filed under: uncultured bacterium
Lineage: Bacteria
Description: bacterial SSU rRNA
Rfam family: Bacterial small subunit ribosomal RNA
Source: RNAcentral
CGUGUAGGCGGUCAUGUAAGUCAGAUGUGAAAGCCUCCCGCUUAACGGGAGAAGUGCAUUUGAAACUACAUGACUGGAGUACGGGAGAGGAGAGUGGAAUUCCCGGUGUAGAGGUGAAAUUCGUAGAUAUCGGGAGGAACACCAGUGGCGAAGGCGGCUCUCUGGCCUGAUACUGACGCUGAGACGCGAAAGCGUGGGGAGCAAACAGGAUUAGAUACCCUGGUAGUCCACGCCGUAAACGAUGGGCACUAGGUGUAGGAGGUAUUGACCCCUUCUGUGCCGAAGCUAACGCAUUAAGUGCCCCGCCUGGGGAGUACGGCCGCAAGGUUAAA